Molecule: long non-coding RNA, 2831 nt
Filed under: Sus scrofa (pig)
Lineage: Eukaryota; Metazoa; Chordata; Mammalia; Artiodactyla; Suidae
Description: lncRNA (ENSSSCG00055021106.1)
Source: RNAcentral
CUUUGGGCUGGUUGAGCUGGGGCCCUUGGGAAAAAGCCACAUGGAGCAGUGGGGUCUGAGGCUUGAUGGAAGGUGUGGGUGAGCCUGGAACCCUGUUCCCUUCUGCUCUCUCAUACUCUGCAGCGUCCUAGGAAAGGACCUCGUACGAUAAAAAUUAAGACAAGAUCCCCCUCUCCCCUUUUUUUGAAAGAUAGACUGUGCUUUGCCUUGUGGGGUCGCCUGAGAACUCUGCAUUCUGUUGUUCUGAUGAGGGACUUCCUUUUGCUCAGCAGGUGAGAGCUGGUGGGGCAGGGCCCCCAGCAGCGUGUGAGCCACGGGAGUGCUCUGUGACCCCAGUAAUCUCCUUUGAUCCCCAGGAGCCGUAGUGGGACAGAGGCCAGAUGCAGCCUUUGCUUUCACAGCAUCCCUGCCUUUCCUCUAGCCAGGACUCCUCAACCCGGUCCGCGGACGUGUACAAGUCCAUACCCCUGCCCGCUUGUGUUUGUGAACCUGGAAACGUGGCGGGCGCGUGUGCAUGUAACUGUUAGGAAUCCACGUUGAUGCGGGCGAGCGGGGAGGUCAUUUCCAUUCCAGACUCUUUCCUUUCACCUUAAAAAAAAAAUCAGACUAUUUUCUUGUAGCUUAUCCGUGCAAGGAAAUACCCUUUUUUUUUUUUUUUUUUUUUAAUUCUGUCUGUUUCCAGCCAUGUUCUUUGGCUUGAUCAUAUGUCAGUAUUUUAUUCCUCUUUGGAGCUAAGACUAAGCUUGUUUUAAUGGAUGUUUCUUAGGAUAAGCUAAGUGAUGACACAUCACUUAAUUUGGUGUGUAUACUGCUUUAAUUACCGAAAACUGUCUUCGAUAAUAACAUAGGAGAUAGGAAAGGUAGGAAUAGCAUUUGAAUUAUUCUCUGUCCUUCUGUCUCUGGAUGUGGAAUAACUGCUCUUGAAUUUAUACAUUCUUGGUCCUUGAGGAACCGUAAAAGCCUACCCUUACAUAUAUAUGAAAUGGAGAGAAACUGCAUAUUUAUUAAGAAUCAUGACCCUUAGGACUAGAUAAGUCAAAUUAAAUCUCAUAAAAAUCUGUUAUGGAAAAUGAAUACAUGGCAAUUUUUUUUCUUUUAGGGCAUACUUAUUAAUUUUGUCAUGUUUAAUAUGUUAGAGUUGCAAACAAAGGCAUAAGUGUGUGUGUUCAUUCCUAAUUAAUUUAUGUAAUUGGGUUUUAUAAAUUUAGGUGUUUAGGAAGCUGUACAUAACACACCCCAUUUACUGUGUGCUGUAGCCAAUAAAAGCAUAAUAGAAAGAAAUAUAGUUUGAAGCUCACUUCAGUGGUAAAUAUAGAUUAAUUGUAAAUGAUAUCUUUGUAAUGUUUAUUUUAAAUUUUGCAAUGCUGCACAUUUUGCGAACCUACCAAUUAAUGUUCUGAUUUGAAAUAAUGACUAGGUUAAUUACUACAAAUUGUAAGUGCUCUAUCUCUGACAAUUAAAAAGUCUCUUACAGCUUUUGUUUAGUUCCCUCUGAAUUACAUGAGUAGCAGUACGGCAUCGGGGAAAGAAGACUUAAGAAUAGAAGGAGGGUGUUUAAAAUAUGGGUAGUUUUGUCAUUUUCUGUUUUGGAUGAUUGUAUGUGUGUGUGCGUACACACAUGCACACACAUUUAUGUGUAAUUUCUGUUUACAUUACAGAGACAGACAGUCAAAAAAUCUGAAAUGUAUUUUUUUAAAGUAAGAUAUAAAUUACAAUGUGUAAAUCAAAUACACUGUGUUAAAACCAGUGACUUUUAAAUAAGCCUCUCUGUCAUCGUGACGUGGCCAUGGUGCUCCCCGAGAUCUCAGGUUGGCAGCACAUCUGCCUCUGCAGUCUGACGCACAGGACCAGUUUGAUGGGAAAGGGCCUGGCCUAUGUCACUGGUCUCCCCAGGGUUUAUUAGCCUACCAGGGAAGGCCGUUGUUCUCUCCUCACCCCAGCUCAAAAAGACGGUGAGAAAUCCACAUCAGUGCUACCCUGCUUCUAGCCAAGGAGUUGAAUGUGGUCAGGCUCACUUUCUUCAUGAAUGCAUUUAAACAAAAGACUCUGCGUUGGUUUAGAGCAAAGCAUCUUCCUCUUUGUUUUUUGUCUUUUUAGGGCCGCAACUGUGGCAUAUGGAAGUUCCAGGGCUGGGGUUGAAUCAGAGCUGCACCUGCUGGCCUACACCACAGCCACAGUGAUGCAGGAUCCGAGCUGCGUUUGCGACCUGCGCCACAGCUCAGGGCAGUGCUGGAUCCUUAAUCCACUCAGCGAGGCCAGGGAUCGAACCCUCAUCCUCAUAGAUGCUAGUGAGUUUCGUUACCUCUGAGCCACGAUGGAAACUCCAACACAUCUUUCUCUUUGAACAACAGCGAGUACACGGGGCUAUUUGAAUACCGUGUUAUAUGCCUUUGAGAAAUCACUGGAUUCACAGGGUCCUUUGUAAAUUUAAUACCUCCCUCCAGGGAGAGAAUCUGUGUGCAGGGUCAAUUGGGAGUGCCUUUGGUACAUUCUCUUUUGUGCCUUACAGGUUAAAGGAGAGUGUUGGAUUUGCUUCUAUAAGUAUGGGCUUGCUGAACUUCCAAAAACCGUGAAUAAUCAUGUCUAAACAUAAAUACUAUAUGUGGAGUAAGUGUCAUGGAUCCCAUUUAUGAUGGAAUAUGUAUGUCUUUCCAAGGCUAAGACCUUCAUAAUUCAUUUAUAAGUUACAUUCCUUCCAUGUAAGUAACAGAAGAGUCAUUUUCUUCAUUCUUUCCAGAGAAUUGUCACACCGGGAAGAGGGAAAGAAAAGGACAAACUUUUUCCAGUAGAAUGCCAUUCAGAGAUAAGUAGAAAAAAGUAUUAGAGCAAAG